This 450-nucleotide ribosomal RNA is filed under the name uncultured Glomus. RNAcentral's name for it is "SSU rRNA". It matches the Rfam family "Eukaryotic small subunit ribosomal RNA", at positions 569 to 1025 of the family's 1831-position model. Lineage: Eukaryota; Fungi; Glomeromycota; Glomeromycetes; Glomerales; Glomeraceae. The record is from RNAcentral.
AGCAGCCGCGGUAAUUCCAGCUCCAAUAGCGUAUAUUAAAGUUGUUGCAGUUAAAAAGCUCGUAGUUGAAUUUCGGGAUCAAGGGAUCGGUCAUGCCUUGGUAUGUACUGGUUUUAUUGGUUCUCACCUUCUAAAGAACCAUGAUGUCAUUCAUUUGAUGUUAUGGGGAAUUAGGACUGUUACCUUGAAAAAUUAGAGUGUUUAAAGCAAGCUUACGCUUGAAUACAUUAGCAUGGAAUAAUGAAAUAGGACAUCAGAUUCUAUUUUGUUGGUUUCUAGGAUCGAUGUAAUGAUUAAUAGGGAUAGUUGGGGGCAUUAGUAUUCAAUUGUCAGAGGUGAAAUUCUUGGAUUUAUUGAAGACUAACUACUGCGAAAGCAUUUGCCAAGGAUGUUUUCAUUAAUCAAGAACGAAAGUUAGGGGAUCGAAGACGAUCAGAUACCGUCGUAGUC